UGCAUUUUGGGUUCCUAAACGAUAAAGC
RNAcentral lists this non-coding RNA (28 nucleotides) under Rattus norvegicus (Norway rat). The record is from RNAcentral. Lineage: Eukaryota; Metazoa; Chordata; Mammalia; Rodentia; Muridae.